GUGAGGAAUUUUCCGCAAUGGGCGAAAGCCUGACGGAGCAAUGCCGCGUGAAGGAUGAAGGCCUAUGGGUUGUAAACUUCUUUUCUCAGAAAAGAAUUAUGACGGUAUCUGAGGAAUAAGCAUCGGCUAACUCUGUGCCAGCAGCCGCGGUAAGACAGAGGAUGCAAGCGUUAUCCGGAAUGAUUGGGCGUAAAGCGUCUGUAGGUUGUUUAAAAAGUAUUCUGUCAAAGAUUAGGGCUUAACCCUAGAUAGGCAGAAUAAACUUUUAAGCUAGAUUUUGGUAGAGGCAGAGGGAAUUCCCAGUGGAGCGGUGAAAUGCGUAGAUAUCGGGAGGAACACCAAAGGCGAAGGCACUCUGCUGGGCCAAUACUAACACUGAGAGACGAAAGCGAGGGGAGCAAAUGGGAUUAGAUACCCCGGUAUCC
RNAcentral lists this ribosomal RNA (425 nucleotides) under uncultured bacterium. RNAcentral's name for it is "bacterial SSU rRNA". It matches the Rfam family "Bacterial small subunit ribosomal RNA", at positions 354 to 795 of the family's 1533-position model. The record is from RNAcentral.